RNAcentral lists this ribosomal RNA (468 nucleotides) under uncultured bacterium. RNAcentral's name for it is "partial 16S ribosomal RNA". It matches the Rfam family "Bacterial small subunit ribosomal RNA", at positions 28 to 507 of the family's 1533-position model. The record is from RNAcentral.
GACGAACGCUGGCGGCGUGCUUAACACAUGCAAGUCGAACGGAAAGGCCCUGCUUUUGUGGGGUGCUCGAGUGGCGAACGGGUGAGUAACACGUGAGUAACCUGCCCUUGACUUUGGGAUAACUUCAGGAAACUGGGGCUAAUACCGGAUAGGAGCUCCUGCUGCAUGGUGGGGGUUGGAAAGUUUCGGCGGUUGGGGAUGGACUCGCGGCUUAUCAGCUUGUUGGUGGGGUAGUGGCUUACCAAGGCUUUGACGGGUAGCCGGCCUGAGAGGGUGACCGGCGACAUUGGGACUAAGGGACGGCCCAGAGUCCUACGGGAGGCAGCAGUGGGGAAUAUUGCACAAUGGGCGGAAGCCUGAGGCAGCAACGCCGCGUGCGGGAUGACGGCCUUCGGGUUGUAAACCGCUUUCGCCUGUGACGAAGCGUGAGUGACGGUAAUGGGUAAAGAAGCACCGGCUAACUACGUG